AAACCAAGAAAGUUUUAAAAAUAUUACAUUGUGGAUGUAAAGAGGUAUAGUGUUACUUUUGGUA
RNAcentral lists this transfer RNA (64 nucleotides) under Pandorites podoceroides. RNAcentral's name for it is "tRNA-His". Lineage: Eukaryota; Metazoa; Arthropoda; Malacostraca; Amphipoda; Pontogammaridae. The record is from RNAcentral.